UCGGCAAAGAGCUACACCGAUAUCAGACCCCCAAAUGGAGUUAGACAUAACGUUCGUCCUUCUGUUUGAAUUUAGUUAUAAGAGUUGCCAUAUUCAGACAAAAGAGAAGAGUUGUUAAUUUGGCUGGCAACCUCGGUUACUAAACCAAUAAACCAUGUGUAGUGUCCGCGAAAAAGAUAAGCCAAGAGGUACCCGAAAACUAGACGUUAAGAUUAAAAUCUCGGAACUAGAGGGUGAAUUACAACGAAUGAAAGAAUUCCCAACUAAACAAAGAAUAAGUA
Molecule: long non-coding RNA, 281 nt
Organism: Aethina tumida (small hive beetle)
Lineage: Eukaryota; Metazoa; Arthropoda; Insecta; Coleoptera; Nitidulidae
Exons: 3
Source: RefSeq, a predicted model, not a curated record